RNAcentral lists this ribosomal RNA (205 nucleotides) under Providencia rettgeri. Its description in RNAcentral is "partial 16S ribosomal RNA". It matches the Rfam family "Bacterial small subunit ribosomal RNA", at positions 1 to 210 of the family's 1533-position model. Lineage: Bacteria; Pseudomonadati; Pseudomonadota; Gammaproteobacteria; Enterobacterales; Morganellaceae. The record is from RNAcentral.
UUAAUUGAAGAGUUUGAUCAUGGCUCAGAUUGAACGCUGGCGGCAGGCCUAACACAUGCAAGUCGAGCGGUAACAGGGGAAGCUUGCUUCUCGCUGACGAGCGGCGGACGGGUGAGUAAUGUAUGGGGAUCUGCCCGAUAGAGGGGGAUAACCACUGGAAACGGUGGCUAAUACCGCAUAAUCUCUUAGGAGCAAAGCAGGGGAA